UACGGAGGGUGCAAGCGUUAAUCGGAAUUACUGGGCGUAAAGAGUGCGUAGGUGGUUGAUUAAGUUAUCUGUGAAAUUCCUGGGCUCAACCUGGGACGGUCAGAUAAUACUGGUUAACUCGAGUAUGGGAGAGGGUAGUGGAAUUUCCGGUGUAGCGGUGAAAUGCGUAGAGAUCGGAAGGAACACCAGUGGCGAAGGCGGCUACCUGGCCUAAUACUGACACUGAGGCACGAAAGCAUGGGGAGCGAACAGG
This 253-nucleotide ribosomal RNA is filed under the name uncultured bacterium. Its description in RNAcentral is "partial 16S ribosomal RNA". It matches the Rfam family "Bacterial small subunit ribosomal RNA", at positions 524 to 776 of the family's 1533-position model. The record is from RNAcentral.